GGAAGGACUGUGGCUCACUGGAAGAGCACCUGCUUUGUAUGAAGAAGGUUCUGGGUUCAAUUCCUGACAUCUCCA
This is a non-coding RNA of Podarcis lilfordi (Lilford's wall lizard), 75 nucleotides long. The record is from the annotation of a GenBank genome assembly. NCBI's taxonomy places the organism in Eukaryota, Metazoa, Chordata, Lepidosauria, Squamata, Lacertidae.